AUUUAGGGGUGUCCGUCUUGGCCGGAUGCGUUUUGCCGCAUCAGGCAGACAGGUCUGAGAUUAUACCCUUUGAACCUGAUCCGGGUAAUACCGGCGUAGAGAAAAA
RNAcentral lists this non-coding RNA (106 nucleotides) under Duncaniella dubosii. Lineage: Bacteria; Pseudomonadati; Bacteroidota; Bacteroidia; Bacteroidales; Muribaculaceae. The record is from RNAcentral.